RNAcentral lists this ribosomal RNA (478 nucleotides) under uncultured bacterium. Its description in RNAcentral is "partial 16S ribosomal RNA". It matches the Rfam family "Bacterial small subunit ribosomal RNA", at positions 28 to 523 of the family's 1533-position model. The record is from RNAcentral.
GACGAACGCUGGCGGCGUGCUUAACACAUGCAAGUCGAACGGUAAGGCCCUUCGGGGUACACGAGUGGCGAACGGGUGAGUAACACGUGGGUGAUCUGCCCUGCACUUCGGGAUAAGCCUGGGAAACUGGGUCUAAUACCGGAUAGGACCACUGCCUGCAUGGGUGGUGGUGGAAAGCUUUUGCGGUGUGGGAUGGGCCCGCGGCCUAUCAGCUUGUUGGUGGGGUGAUGGCCUACCAAGGCGACGACGGGUAGCCGGCCUGAGAGGGUGACCGGCCACAGUGGGACUGAGAUACGGCCCAGACUCCUACGGGAGGCAACAGUGGGGAAUAUUGCACAAUGGGCGCAAGCCUGAUGCAGCGACGCCGCGUGAGGGAUGACGGCCUUCGGGUUGUAAACCUCUUUCAGCACCGACGAAGCGCAAGUGACGGUAGGUGCAGAAGAAGGACCGGCCAACUACGUGCCAGCCGCCGCGGUAA